UUCCUCGGCCAUGGUGUAUGAAGCAUUGUAGGUACGAAAUACUUUAGCUGAAAGUCCAUCCAUAAGGCUAGUCAGAUAUUUGUUAAGACUGUUUGUACUGAGACGGUCGAAAAUUAAAUCACCCUCUUUUUUGGGAGGACGUUUAAAGAUCUUUAGAUUUUUAAAAACUUGGGGAUCAACUUCAACCUCGUUGUAGUAACGAAUAGAAUCUUUACCAAGAAAAUCGAAAACGACUGUUCGUGGUGGCUUCAGUGUAACAUGUUCAUAUCGCAGUGAACAACAACCAACAGUAUCCGCCUCGUCUUCACCCUUUUCAUUUCCUGCUCUUAAAGCAAAAACAUCAAUUAAAUACAUGGCAGUUCCUCUUUGACGCUCAACCGUUAACUCACUUUUCAAAUCUU
Non-coding RNA from Schizosaccharomyces pombe (fission yeast), 401 nucleotides. The record is from the annotation of a GenBank genome assembly. Lineage: Eukaryota; Fungi; Ascomycota; Schizosaccharomycetes; Schizosaccharomycetales; Schizosaccharomycetaceae.